GAUGAACGCUGGCGGCGUGCCUAAUACAUGCAAGUCGAGCGAACAGACGAGGAGCUUGCUCCUCUGACGUUAGCGGCGGACGGGUGAGUAACACGUGGAUAACCUACCUAUAAGACUGGGAUAACUUCGGGAAACCGGAGCUAAUACCGGAUAAUAUAUUGAACCGCAUGGUUCAAUAGUGAAAGACGGUUUUGCUGUAACUUAUAGAUGGAUCCGCGCCGCAUUAGCUAGUUGGUAAGGUAACGGCUUACCAAGGCGACGAUGCGUAGCCGACCUGAGAGGGUGAUCGGCCACACUGGAACUGAGACACGGUCCAGACUCCUACGGGAGGCAGCAGUAGGGAAUCUUCCGCAAAGGGCGAAAGCCUGACGGAGCAACGCCGCGUGAGUGAUGAAGGUCUUCGGAUCGUAAAACUCUGUUAUUAGGGAAGAACAAAUGUGUAAGUAACUAUGCACGUCUUGACGGUACCUAAUCAGAAAGCCACGGCUAACUACGUG
Molecule: ribosomal RNA, 497 nt
Filed under: uncultured bacterium
Lineage: Bacteria
Description: partial 16S ribosomal RNA
Rfam family: Bacterial small subunit ribosomal RNA
Source: RNAcentral